CACACUUGGAGAACCACUGGUGUAGUGCAACCUGCUGAUAGCAUGCCUGGAGCCCCUGCACCCACGCGGGUGCACCCAUCCCUCAGCUACUGUGGAUAUUGGCUGCUAAUGGCUCCCAGCUGCCCCUCUGCUGGGGUCUCACCAUCUGCUGAUGGGAAGCACCUUGCCCUGGAGGUUACCCACCCCCCAACAGCGCACAGCAGGUGCCUCCCCAGCUUGAGACAGACCAGGAGAAACCUCAUCCAUGCACAUUCUCCAGAAGGGACCAGGAAUGAUGAGAUGUUCCACUUCCAGCUCUUUGAGUUUCUCCAUGGCUCCCCCACCCCACUCUCCAUCCCAUCCUCCCCUGGGCUGAGCUGACAGCUGUCAGGCUAAGAGGAGUGACAGGUGCUUUUGUGAUUAAUCACUGCAGACCACACACCAAGGAGAAGGGAAUCGGGGCGAACAGAGGGGAGGACUGGAAGGGCCCCCCCAGCCUUCUCUUGGUGGGAGUUUUCCAGGGUGGGCAUCCUCUCUGGUGUUCUCUUUGUUGCCCUGUACAAGCCUGGUUACAAGCCUGGCAUUAGUGUUUGCAAGGGAGUCCAUGGGGCUGUCCGCUUUUGAUGGGGAGAUAAGAGUUCACCUCUUUGGCCAGGUGCAGUGGCUCAUGCCUGUAAUCCCAACACUUUGGGAGACCAAGGCUGGAUUAUCACUUGAGCCCAGGAGUUCGAGACCAGCCUGGGCAACAUAGCAAGAGCCUCGUCUCUACAAAAAAUAAGAAAAAAUUAGUCAGACAUGGUGGCACUCACCUGUAGUCCUAACUACUUCUAAGGCUGAGGCAAGAGGAUUGCUUGAGCCUGGGAGGUCGAGGCUGCAGUGAACUGUGAUUGCACCACUGCACUCCAGCCUGGGUAACAGAGUGAGACCCUGUCUCAAAAAA
RNAcentral lists this long non-coding RNA (919 nucleotides) under Homo sapiens (human). RNAcentral's name for it is "non-protein coding lnc-ZFAND3-5:1". Lineage: Eukaryota; Metazoa; Chordata; Mammalia; Primates; Hominidae. The record is from RNAcentral.